Bombina bombina (fire-bellied toad) is the source of this 361-nucleotide long non-coding RNA. RefSeq lists it as uncharacterized. The transcript has 3 exons. The record is from RefSeq and is a predicted model, not a curated record. NCBI's taxonomy places the organism in Eukaryota, Metazoa, Chordata, Amphibia, Anura, Bombinatoridae.
AGAGGAUGCUCCGCGCCGGAUGUCUUGAAGAAGGACCCGCUCCAUGCCGGAUGGAUGAAGAUAAAGGAUGCCAUCUGGAUGAAGACUUCUGCCAGCUUCGAGGAGGACUUCUGCCCGCUUGGAUGAAGACUUCUGCCGCCUGGAUGAGGAUGGAUGUCUGGUCUUCGAAAACUUGCUAGGACUCUGUGUGGAUGUUCGUUUGCUAUUGGCCUGUCCAGGGGCUCGUCCGGGUGCAUGUGACCGCCACUCCCACCACGUGUGUCUACACGGAAGAACGCCACAGUUUGAGAGCAGCCCCGGCUGCGCUAACAGGAGGCUUAUCACGGCAGAUCCUAGAGCGCAUGCAUUAAAGGAGAAGGAC